Molecule: ribosomal RNA, 468 nt
Filed under: uncultured bacterium
Lineage: Bacteria
Description: partial 16S ribosomal RNA
Rfam family: Bacterial small subunit ribosomal RNA
Source: RNAcentral
GACGAACGCUGGCGGCGUGCUUAACACAUGCAAGUCGAACGGAAAGGCCCUGCUUUUGUGGGGUGCUCGAGUGGCGAACGGGUGAGUAACACGUGAGUAACCUGCCCUUGACUUUGGGAUAACUUCAGGAAACUGGGGCUAAUACCGGAUAGGAGCUCCUGCUGCAUGGUGGGGGUUGGAAAGUUUCGGCGGUUGGGGAUGGACUCGCGGCUUAUCAGCUUGUUGGUGGGGUAGUUGCUUACCAAGCCUUUGACGGGUAGCCGGCCUGGGAGGGUGACCGGGCACAUUGGGACUGAGGGAGGGACCAGACUCCAACGGGGGGCAGCGGGGGGGAAUAUUGCACAAUGGGCGGAAGCCUGUUGCGGAGACGCCGCGUGCGGGAUGACGGCCUUCGGGUUGUAAACCGCUGUCGCCUGUGACGAAGCGGGAGUGACGGUAAUGGGUAAAGAAGCACCGGCUAACUACGUG